Long non-coding RNA from Girardinichthys multiradiatus, 830 nucleotides. RefSeq lists it as uncharacterized. The record is from RefSeq and is a predicted model, not a curated record. Lineage: Eukaryota; Metazoa; Chordata; Actinopteri; Cyprinodontiformes; Goodeidae. The transcript has 3 exons.
GUUACUUUAUUAAAUCUAGUGUAUCAUACAUAACAAAACCAGCCCAGCAUUCUGAUCAGGGUAAAUUAAUUGACACAAUUAAGAUAAGUUAGAAAUUGUCAUCCCACAGUGGCUGUGUGCAGGUUUUUUGUGUUUGUGCAGGGUGUGACUGGCAGGUGCAGCCACAACAGGUGUUUCUAGUUGAGCCCAAUCACUGGGGCUUCUUAAGGAGCAGGAACCUGGAUGGGGCCAUUGGCUUGUUGUCUCUGCCAGUGUGGUAACUAGACUAUGUGCUGCAGUUCUCCGCAUUUUCUAAGCCUGCUAUAAUUGAGUUUCUUGUCCUGCUUUUCCAGAUCUAAUCACUUUGUGACAGUGUCCUGGAUUCCAAGCUCCUGUUUCUCUGUAUCCAUGCUCAAGUGAGUUCUGGAAAAGACUCCCUGCUGCUCCAACCGUGACCCUCUCUUUCUUUCCUACCUCCAGCUCUGCAGCUCUGAGAUCACCUCGUGGAAACACCAAACCAUUGCUCACCUGCCUGUCCACCAUCCAACGCCGCAUGGUCAGUGGAAGCACUGCUGCUUAAGGAUCACAAAGAGAUGACAUUGGCACUGUGAAUCUCUGUACUACUACUCCUGCCAAACUCUGCCUCUGUGGGGCAGACUUGCCACCUCCAGCAAGCCAUCAUCCACCACCAACAUUACAUAUUUGACAACAUAAUCUGCAUACAACUUGCAAUGGACAUCUUCACAACUUUCAGGAAUGAAAUAAACUCAUGCGGAAGAAACAAAUAUUAAAGUCAUUGGCUUAUUUUUUGUCAUAGUAAGGGAUCAACUGACCAUCUGGGGAUGAAUUAU